AGGACGAACGCUGGCGGCGUGCUUAACACAUGCAAGUCGAACGAUGAACCAGGAGCUUGCUCUUGGGGAUUAGUGGCGAACGGGUGAGUAACACGUGAGUAACCUGCCCUUGACUCUGGGAUAACCUCCGGAAACGGAAGCUAAUACCGGAUACGAACUGCGAAGGCAUCUUCAGCAGUUGGAAAGAACUUCGGUCAAGGAUGGACUCGCGGCCUAUCAGGUAGUUGGUGAGGUAACGGCUCACCAAGCCUACGACGGGUAGCCGGCCUGAGAGGGUGACCGGCCACACUGGGACUGAGACACGGCCCAGACUCCUACGGGAGGCAGCAGUGGGGAAUAUUGCACAAUGGGCGCAAGCCUGAUGCAGCAACGCCGCGUGAGGGAUGACGGCCUUCGGGUUGUAAACCUCUUUUAGUAGGGAAGAAGCGAAAGUGACGGUACCUGCAGAAAAAGCACCGGCUAACUACGUGCCAGCAGCCGCGGUAAUACGUAGGGUGCGAGCGUUGUCCGGAAUUAUUGGGCGUAAAGAGCUCGUAGGCGGUCUGUCGCGUCUGCUGUGAAAACCCGAGGCUCAACCUCGGGCCUGCAGUGGGUACGGGCAGACUAGAGUGCGGUAGGGGAGAAUGGAAUUCCUGGUGUAGCGGUGGAAUGCGCAGAUAUCAGGAGGAACACCGAUGGCGAAGGCAGUUCUCUGGGCCGUAACUGACGCUGAGGAGCGAAAGCGUGGGGAGCGAACAGGAUUAGAUACCCUGGUAGUCCACGCCG
RNAcentral lists this ribosomal RNA (765 nucleotides) under Cryocola sp. RNAcentral's name for it is "bacterial SSU rRNA". It matches the Rfam family "Bacterial small subunit ribosomal RNA", at positions 26 to 802 of the family's 1533-position model. The record is from RNAcentral. Lineage: Bacteria; Bacillati; Actinomycetota; Actinomycetes; Micrococcales; Microbacteriaceae.